CCUACGGGAGGCAGCAGUGGGGGAUAUUGCACAAUGGGGGAAACCCUGAUGCAGCGACGCCGCGUGUGGGAAGACGGUCCUCUGGAUUGUAAACCACUGUACCCAGGGACGAAGAUGACGGUACCUGGGGAGGAAGCUCCGGCUAACUACGUGCCAGCAGCCGCGGUAAUACGUAGGGAGCGAGCGUUGUCCGGAAUUACUGGGGGUAAAGGGAGCGUAGGCGGGGAUGAAAGUUGGGGGUCAAAACUACGGGUCAAACUGGUAGUCGCACUCAAAACUGUAGCGCGUGAGUGAAGUAGAGGCAGGCGGAAUUCCUAGGGUAGCGGUGAAAUGCGUAGAUAUUAGGAGGAACACCAGUGGCGAAGGCGGCCUGCUGGGCUGUUACUGACGCUGAGGCUCGAAAGUGUGGGGAGCAAACAGGAUUAGAUACCCCUGUAGUC
RNAcentral lists this ribosomal RNA (440 nucleotides) under uncultured bacterium. RNAcentral describes it as "partial 16S ribosomal RNA". It matches the Rfam family "Bacterial small subunit ribosomal RNA", at positions 338 to 795 of the family's 1533-position model. The record is from RNAcentral.